CCUACGGGAGGCAGCAGUCGAGAAUCAUUCACAAUGGGGGAAACCCUGAUGGUGCGACGCCGCGUGGGGGAAUGAAGGUCUUCGGAUUGUAAACCCCUGUCAUGUGGGAGCAAAUUAAAAAGAUAGUACCACAAGAGGAAGAGACGGCUAACUCUGUGCCAGCAGCCGCGGUAAUACAGAGGUCUCAAGCGUUGUUCGGAAUCACUGGGCGUAAGGCGUGCGUAGGCUGUUUCGUAAGUCGUGUGUGAAAGGCGCGGGCUCAACCCGCGGACGGAACAUGAUACUGCGAGACUAGAGUAAUGGAGGGGGAACCGGAAUUCUCGGUGUAGCAGUGAAAUGCGUAGAUAUCGAGAGGAACACUCGUGGCGAAGGCGGGUUCCUGGACAUUAACUGACGCUGAGGCACGAAGGCCAGGGGAGCGAAAGGGAUUAGAUACCCCUGUAGUC
RNAcentral lists this ribosomal RNA (446 nucleotides) under uncultured bacterium. RNAcentral describes it as "partial 16S ribosomal RNA". It matches the Rfam family "Bacterial small subunit ribosomal RNA", at positions 338 to 795 of the family's 1533-position model. The record is from RNAcentral.